GGAGGCGUUUCGUCACCGGUGUGGCGCCCAGUCUUCAAAACUGGCGGCAGGUCGAGAGGUCUGCGGUAGGUUCGACCCCUAUGCGUCUCCGCCA
This 94-nucleotide transfer RNA is filed under the name Desulfovibrionaceae bacterium. Its description in RNAcentral is "tRNA-Sec". It matches the Rfam family "Selenocysteine transfer RNA". The record is from RNAcentral. Lineage: Bacteria; Pseudomonadati; Thermodesulfobacteriota; Desulfovibrionia; Desulfovibrionales; Desulfovibrionaceae.